Panicum virgatum (switchgrass) is the source of this 1767-nucleotide long non-coding RNA. RefSeq lists it as uncharacterized. The transcript is spliced from 7 exons. The record is from RefSeq and is a predicted model, not a curated record. Lineage: Eukaryota; Viridiplantae; Streptophyta; Magnoliopsida; Poales; Poaceae.
CUCCCCGCGCCCAGUUUUCUCUACCCCACGUCCGAGCGGUUUUCCCCCCACCCCCUUCCCCAGCUCGCAGAUGCGGAGCGCCGCCGCCAAUCCCUGUGCCCUGCGUCGCCGGCCGCGCGAUUCCCUGGCGUCCGUGCCGCCCGGCGAGCUGCAGCGUCUGCUCCCGCCGCGGCCCCUCUCUGGUGCGUCCCCUCUCUCCUGCUCCAGUCACCGUCGCCCCGAGGAGCUUCCUCGUUGAUGUGUGGAUCUGUCAUUCCAGUCGUCUGCGAUCGAGCCCGCGAGCGGAUGCGGCAAACUAAUCUGCAUGCAUCGAGUUCCCACUUGCGUGAUGAUGCAGCAGCCAAAACAAGGACCCGGAGUCACGGACACGACGCCAACGCACACUUCCCCACCCCCGAUUCUCCCCUGCGAUCAAUGAUAGCGCCAGCAGCCUUAGCAGCAUGCACAGUAGGAAUUCCAGGCAAUGGCAUUUCCGUCCGGCUACCAAAAUUAAGAAUUGGACUGCGUGAAGCCUUUGGUUGAACUCUAGCAAAAAAAAAAGCAAAAAGAAAAAGAGAAAACUGCAGCCUAUGUGGAUCAGAUAAAACACAGUUUCGCCUGAUGGGUGCAGCUCCAAUGCUCGAUGUACAACUCAGUAGCCUUCCUGUAUGCCUGCAUUGGCUUUCUAGCAGUGGAUGUUGUGGAGGUAUCUCUAGAUCCGCAGGACUUUGGACCUUUUGCUUCAAUUGGUUUUGGUGAUAUCUUUCCUUAACGAUCUUCUCCAAUGCUAGACGUGAUGGUAACCGUACAAGAAUUCAAGGAAGAAGUGCUUACCCAAAUUGCAUCAACUUGCACACUUGCAGCAGCGUCUCCGAGUUUGCCCACGUGGUCACGGCUCUUGACUUGCCCCAGCAGCUCCUUGGUGAGAUGCUAGUACAAUAACCACACAGGGUCCGCAAUUGCAUUUAACUUUCAGGUUCAAGUGGUGACUGCAUCCUAUCUCUCCCCUCGCCUGUGGAUAUCUUCAGAACGAUGAGCUCUGAUUCCCCGGUUUAAGUCUGCAGUAUGUUUUGGGGUCAGAGGUUGGUGUAUGAUGCCUAUCAAUCCAAGGAUUGCAGUCUUUGUGACCUCGUGGUUCCCUUGACAAGAACAAGGAGCGCUACUUGCUGGCAAUGACGCACUUUGCUGACACGAGGCGUAACCCAUCAUGCCUGAAGGGAGCACAACGCCAAGGCUCGAACAAGCUGGCCUCCUCCAUGGAAGAGGCAUAACAGGUUCCAAUGUUUUGUAUUCUAAUUUCCUAUCAUUGAUGUUGAGUGAUUAGUAAAUUGGGCAACCAAAAUGUAUCUCUCAUCAAUUCUUGGGUGGUGACCUCCAUGGGCGCUCCUCUUGUACGUAUCCAGGACCCGUAAUUACAAAUUAGUAGCUAAUCAAAAGACUUGCUGUCCGAGGCAGACCAAGCUUUAUUAGCUAUACACUCAUUUGGUUCCUCUAGCCAACUAUGCAUUUGGGAUUCUCAUAUAAAUACAAAUACGCCCUAUAUGUCAUUCUUCAUAGUAUGAUAGAAAAUGACCAUUCAUAACUCUUUUUAUGGCGUGAUGAUGUAUUAAAGAAAUCGUGGGUUCAUGCCUGAUGUGUACGUGAAGGCCGGCGUAUACAUGUUUUCUUUCGUUCACUUGUAUAUCGAUCAAUCACCGAGUAGAUUCUAGAUUCAAUAUAUAUAUAAAUUGUCUCUUGUAUACUUUGUUCAAUCUAUAUUAAGAGUUUGAAAUGAAUUGUUUGUUGGAA